GCGUCGACCUCCACCCCCUCCCCCUUUCCCUUUUGCCUUUCCGGUCACCUGAAGCCAGUGCCAUUCCCAUCGCCUCCCGCUGCCGUUCCCGUGUCGCUCUCUUUCCCCCUCACCUUUGUUGUCUUAGGCUAGCGUAGCUAGCGCGGCUGUCGCAGGAAGCUGCGAUCGUAGCACCCUCAGCCCCUCCUCCCGCAUUUUCAGACAGAUCAACGGCAAGGAGCUCCAUUCACACCACCUGGACCUCGCCUCUAGUCCCUACCGUUACAACCAUCCGACCCAUUUCAUGCUCUUGGCCUACUUCUCGCACGACAGAAAGAGAGAGGGAGACAGAGAGGUUGCGAUGAUCAAAUCCGGCCACCUCGAAUGAUUCCGGUGACUGACACCAACAAGGAUUUGGCGUUGAUUGAUGAAUUUUAGAACCACCACCCCUCCAGCCACCGUAGACGGCGGCGCCAGCGGUGGUUCCGGUGACCGGAGCUCCCUAGAGGCAGAACAUUGUAUUUUUCGUGUAGAGUAUGAAUAUAUAAUUAGUUUUACUAUCUGAUAUCAA
Non-coding RNA from Jatropha curcas, 550 nucleotides. NCBI's taxonomy places the organism in Eukaryota, Viridiplantae, Streptophyta, Magnoliopsida, Malpighiales, Euphorbiaceae. The record is from RefSeq and is a predicted model, not a curated record.